RNAcentral lists this ribosomal RNA (425 nucleotides) under uncultured bacterium. RNAcentral describes it as "partial 16S ribosomal RNA". It matches the Rfam family "Bacterial small subunit ribosomal RNA", at positions 354 to 796 of the family's 1533-position model. The record is from RNAcentral.
GUGGGGAAUAUUGGACAAUGGGCGAAAGCCUGAUCCAGCAAUGCCGCGUGAGUGAUGAAGGCCUUAGGGUUGUAAAGCUCUUUUACCAGGGAUGAUAAUGACAGUACCUGGAGAAUAAGCUCCGGCUAACUCCGUGCCAGCAGCCGCGGUAAUACGGAGGGAGCUAGCGUUGUUCGGAAUUACUGGGCGUAAAGCGCGCGUAGGCGGCUACUCAAGUCAGAGGUGAAAGCCCGGGGCUCAACCCCGGAACUGCCUUUGAAACUAGGUAGCUAGAAUCUUGGAGAGGUCAGUGGAAUUCCGAGUGUAGAGGUGAAAUUCGUAGAUAUUCGGAAGAACACCAGUGGCGAAGGCGACUGACUGGACAAGUAUUGACGCUGAGGUGCGAAAGCGUGGGGAGCAAACAGGAUUAGAAACCCCAGUAGUCC